CCUACGGGAGGCAGCAGUGGGGAAUCUUGGACAAUGGGGGCAACCCUGAUCCAGCGAUGCCGCGUGGGUGAAGAAGGCCUUCGGGUUGUAAAGCCCUUUAGGUUGGGACGAAGGUUGGUGGAGGAUAAUGCUGCCAACUUGACGGUACCGACAGAAUAAGCACCGGCAAACUCUGUGCCAGCAGCCGCGGGUAAU
Molecule: ribosomal RNA, 195 nt
Filed under: uncultured bacterium
Lineage: Bacteria
Description: partial 16S ribosomal RNA
Rfam family: Bacterial small subunit ribosomal RNA
Source: RNAcentral